GACGAACGCUGGCGGCGUGCUUAACACAUGCAAGUCGAACGGAGUUUAAAUCAGUAGUUUACUACAGAUUUAAACUUAGUGGCGGACGGGUGAGUAACACGUGGGCAACCUGCCCUAAAGAGGGGGAUAACACCGAGAAAUCGGUGCUAAUACCGCAUAAAAUUAGAGCUUCGCAUGGAGCUUUAAUCAAAGGAGCAAUCCGCUUUAGGAUGGGCCCGCGUCUGAUUAGCUAGUUGGUGAGGUAGAGGCUCACCAAGGCGACGAUCAGUAGCCGAUCUGAGAGGAUGACCGGCCACACUGGAACUGAGACACGGUCCAGACUCCUACGGGAGGCAGCAGUGGGGAAUAUUGCACAAUGGGGGAAACCCUGAUGCAGCAACGCCGCGUGGAGGAAGAAGGUUUUCGGAUUGUAAACUCCUGUCUUUUGGGACGAUAAUGACGGUACCAAAAGAGGAAGCCACGGCUAACUACGUG
Molecule: ribosomal RNA, 474 nt
Filed under: uncultured bacterium
Lineage: Bacteria
Description: bacterial SSU rRNA
Rfam family: Bacterial small subunit ribosomal RNA
Source: RNAcentral